RNAcentral lists this long non-coding RNA (858 nucleotides) under Vulpes vulpes (red fox). RNAcentral describes it as "lncRNA (ENSVVUG00000019798.1)". Lineage: Eukaryota; Metazoa; Chordata; Mammalia; Carnivora; Canidae. The record is from RNAcentral.
ACUAGAAUCAAGUCCAUGGGUUGCAAAUGCUGAGUUCUUGCUACCUGUGCAUGAGGGAGGGCUGGAGGAUAGCAACAUCAAUCACAUCCCUGCCUUGCAUAUCCUGAACCAAUUGAGAAAUAUGCCAACAGGUCAGAUGUCCAUCCAGUCCAAGUAGACUAGCAAUCUGACCUCAGGCCUCUCAUUAACCAGUGGGCUGUUCCCGGAGUAAUGAAGGCAGAUAAUGCAUCCUGAGAUACCAGUCCAGUGGAGCACACAAACUCACCCCAGUGACCUACAUGAAGAGAUCCUCUGAAGCAUGUGCUGAGCUAAACAGAGAGCCCACCAUUCUGAAUAAGCUGGAAAAAUCCACCACCUCCAGCUGUAAAGCUUAUAGAACAAGACUGAUAAUUUUAAAAUGUAGUUUCUUGAUAAAAGACAUCUUCAGGAUUCUCAAAAUGCUGCAUCCAUCUCACUGUGUUCCUAGAUCGUGAAAGGGUGGCUUUCUACCACUUAAUGAUGCAGAGAUCCAGGUUCCUUCUGUCCUCUGAUUCCACUACCUUUGGGCCUCCAAGUCUUCAGCCUCCAGCCUGCAAAGGAGGGAGUAAUGGGGGGCAGGGGUUUGUGGAUCAGCUUUAGAAGUAGCACAUAUGACUUAUGCUUACGUUCUAUUUUGCUGGAACUCAGCAAAUGGUUGGACUGAAGUGUGAUGAGACUGAAAAUGUGGUUUCUGUCUGGGAAGCCACGUCCUGGUGAAAAUAGCACAAUUGGAAAGGUCAAAUCACAAACUUUUGUUAGCAGAAGCUGCUUCUGCCAUAUAUGGAGAAAGGUUUUAGAAGAAAUUAAGUUCUCUAGAGGGAAAAUAAAUAUUCAUCACAC